UGAGACUUGGCGAAGUAGGAGCCCUGUGUGAUCGUGCGUCAGAGUCGGGGCUGAGACCAGCCCUGGCCAGGGCAGUUACCAGGACGGUCUCCGGAGGCCGGGAUUCGCGGAGGGUCCACCAGCAGGAAGAAACCCCAGGAGGAAGAAAACUCAGACAGAUCGCCGGGGAGGCAGCGCGGGAUCCCAGCCUCAGGCGUGCGCGGACGGUGUGCGGAUAUCAUGGAAAUCAGGACAGUAGCAGUUGGGAUUGUGGCAAUCAAAGGGGUGGAAAGUGAAUUCUAUCUUGCAACGAACGAGGAAGGAAAACUCUAUGCAAAGAAGGAAUGCAAUGAAGAUUGUAACUUCAAAGAUCUAAUUCUGGAAAACCAUUACAACACAUAUGCAGCAGCUAAAUGGACAAACAACGGAGGGGAAAUGUUUGUGGCCUUAAAUCAAAAGGGGAUUCCUGUAAGAGGAAAAAAAACAAAGAAAGAACAAAAAACAGCCCACUUUCUUCCUAUGGCAAUAACUUAAUUGCAUAUGGUAUAUAAAGAACCAGUUCCAGCAGGGAGAUUUCUUUAAGUGGACUGUUUUCUUUCUUCUCAAAAUUUUCUUUCCUUUUAUUUUCUAGUAAUCAAGAAAGGCUGGAAAACUACUGAAAAACUGAUCAAGCUGGACUUGCGCAUUUAUGUUUGUUUUAAGACACUGCAUUAAAGAGACAUUUGAAAAGUAUACACAAAAAUCAGAUUUAGUAACUAAAGGUUGUACAAAAUUGUAAAACUGGUUGUACAAUCAUGAUGUUAGUAAUAGUAAUUUUUUUCUUAAAUUAAUUUACCCUUAAGAGUAUGUUAGAUUUGAUUAUCUGAUAAUGAUUAUUUAAAUAUUCCUAUCUGCUUAUAAAAUGGCUGCUAUAAUAAUAAUAAUGCAGAUGAUGUUAUAUAAGGUAUAUCAGACCUACAGGCUGCUGGCAGGAUUUGUCAGAUAAUCAAGCCACACUAACUAUGGAAAAUGAGCAGCAUUUUAAAUGCUUUCUAGUGAAAAAUUAUAAUCUACUUAAACUCUAAUCAGAAAAAAAGAAUAUUCUCAAAAAAAUCUAUUAUGAAAGUCAAUAAAAUAGAUAAUUUAACAAAAGUACAGGAUUAGAACAUGCUUAUACCUAUUAACAAGAACAAAAUUUCUAAUGCUGCUCAAGUGGAAAGGGUAUUGCUAAAAGGAUGUUUCCAAAAAUCUUGUAUAUAAGAUAGCAACAGUGAUUGAUGAUAAUACUGUACUUCAUCUUACUUGCCACUAAAUAACAUUUUAUAAUUCC
This 1288-nucleotide long non-coding RNA is filed under the name Homo sapiens (human). RNAcentral's name for it is "non-protein coding lnc-CNTNAP3-24:2". Lineage: Eukaryota; Metazoa; Chordata; Mammalia; Primates; Hominidae. The record is from RNAcentral.